AGAGUUUGAUUAUGGCUCAGGACGAACGCUGGCGGCGUGCUUAACACAUGCAAGUCGAACGGAAAGGCCCCUUCGGGGGUGCUCGAGUGGCGAACGGGUGAGUAACACGUGGGUGAUCUGCCCUGCACUCUGGGAUAAGCCUGGGAAACUGGGUCUAAUACCGGACAGGACCGCGCAUCGCAUGGUGUGUGGUGGAAAGCUUUUUGCGGUGUGGGAUGGGCCCGCGGCCUAUCAGCUUGUUGGUGGGGUGAUGGCCUACCAAGGCGACGACGGGUGGCCGGCCUGAGAGGGUGUCCGGCCACACUGGGACUGAGAUACGGCCCAGACUCCUACGGGAGGCAGCAGUGGGGAAUAUUGCACAAUGGGCGGAAGCCUGAAUGCAGCGACGCCGCGUGGGGGAUGACGGCCUUCGGGUUGUAAACCUCUUUCAGCCUCGACGAAGCGAGAGUGACGGUAGGGGCAGAAGAAGCACCGGCCAACUACGUGCCAGCCGCCGC
RNAcentral lists this ribosomal RNA (497 nucleotides) under uncultured bacterium. RNAcentral describes it as "bacterial SSU rRNA". It matches the Rfam family "Bacterial small subunit ribosomal RNA", at positions 8 to 518 of the family's 1533-position model. The record is from RNAcentral.